CGUUGCUGUUUGGUGCCAACACAAAACGUAUGGUUGCACAUUUUAUUACUUCCUCGCAGAUGCAUUAUACAUAUUAUACAGUAAUAACAGCAACGCCGCGAGUUAUGGAAAAAAAAUUUACUUAUAUAUAAAAAUCACAUUUAAAUAACGAUUAUGAUUUUAUUUUAGUUGUACGUAUAUGCGCAUAAACCGUGAUUGUACGACAUUUUUUCACGCGAUUGUUGAACGGAUAAUGUAAUAUAACAUUAUAUGCAGUUAAAUAUAGUGUUGAGCCGAAUACCUGCGAAAAAGAGGCGACGCCCUGUGUGCAAUAUAUUAUACAGGACGAUUCUGUUCUAAAGACUAUUUGAGAGUCCCAUUAUCGGGAUCUAUCUUAGACGACGAUGAUGCGAUAACGCGUGACGACAAAAUAAUAUUAUAAUAUUAUAUAGUUGUAAUGUGUCUCCGACGCCCAUGAUCAAUAAAAUAGUAACGAUAUAAAACAAUUUCACCGUGGCAUACUGGUGGCGUUGCAGUUUUGACCCUUCACCUCUCCACCGGCAUCCGUCAUUAUACAUUAUGUUUUAUAGUACGUAUAAUUUUACCAUCGUAAAUUUCAAUUAUUUCAUCGUCCGAGCAAUAAGAUGA
This is a long non-coding RNA of Metopolophium dirhodum (rose-grain aphid), 627 nucleotides long. RefSeq lists it as uncharacterized. Lineage: Eukaryota; Metazoa; Arthropoda; Insecta; Hemiptera; Aphididae. The transcript has 3 exons. The record is from RefSeq and is a predicted model, not a curated record.